RNAcentral lists this ribosomal RNA (1686 nucleotides) under Triticum aestivum (bread wheat). RNAcentral describes it as "partial small subunit ribosomal RNA". The record is from RNAcentral. Lineage: Eukaryota; Viridiplantae; Streptophyta; Magnoliopsida; Poales; Poaceae.
AUGACGGCUCAAGGUGAGAUUAGUAGGGCAGAAACUCUGAACAUCGAUGAAUUGGAGAAUUUGAUGGGAAGGAAGCUAACUUACUAUCGAUCAAUCUACAAAGAUCAUGAUCAGCGAAGAAAAUUGUACAUAAUUUUUCAAGUUCCAAAAUAUAUUAAACAAGUUGACAAGUUAUCUUACGAACCAAAAGUGUUGUCCAUUGGGCCUUAUUACCAUGGAAAUUCUUCCCUGCAGUUUAUGGAGAAAGUAAAAUGGAACUGCUUAGAUUAUGUUCUUAAACUGAACUGUAGAAAAAAGUUGAAGGUCUAUCUAACAGCGAUGGAGAAUCUGGAGAAGCAGGCAAGGAGCUGCUAUUCUGAGGAAGUUCCUCUAGGAAGUGACAUGUUCCUGCGAAUGAUGCUGCUUGAUGGAUGCUUUUUACUUGUUUAUCUUGGUGGAACGGAUGUCUUAGAUUGGUGCGUUAAUGAACAUAAUUUAACUGGUGGUAAUUAUCAGGGCAGAGAACCACUUCAAUACACAAUAGCACAACAGGAGGAUAUUACGGAGCAUGCAUCACAUAAGGGAAUAAGAAGCAUUGAAAGUAUGAUAUUGCUUGCUGGGAUAUCAUCCAAUUUAUGUUCAACAGAAGGCGUGGAACUUGACCGUAUUAGUACAGGCGAACAAUGCAAUGAUCAGAAGGAUCCUGACCAACCCAAAUGUGACCCGAUUUCUGAUUGGCAUCACUGCCAUGCAUUCCGUGACCUACUUCUUCUUGAGAACCAACUACCAUUUUCCAUUGUGAAGAGAAUAUAUGGGUUACUUGUGGGAGAAGAUGCUCCAGAUCUGCUUACCGAGAAGAUUGGUGAAUAUUUAGAACUUAAUAUUCAGAAGUACACAACAGUUGCUCGUAAAUUUGAUGGGCAAAAAGACUUCCACCACUUGCUCCAGUUGUAUCAUAUGUACUUCCGACCUCAACAAAGGAUUCAACCAGAGCAACAUUUUCAAAUUAGAAACAGAUGGUUGCAUCCUCUCACUACUUUGUGGCGCACAUAUCUCAACCGGAGUUAUUUCGAAGACUUGUCUACCAAUCAGCAGACAACUCAUGUAAGUUCUUGUCAGACACUGAAUCGGUGGCGACGAGCAGAACAAUAUCAUGAAGCUGGAAUUGAGUUUAAGAGCAAAGAGCACAACAAACACAACCCACCAUCUCUUUUGGACAUAACUUUUGACAAGGGUCAGGUGCAAAUUCCAUGCUUGCUUAUUGAUGAAAAUACCAUUUGCCUCUUCAGGAACUUGGUUGCACUUGAGCAAACAUGCUCGCAGUUUGGAAAUGAUGUCACUGCCUAUAUCGCUUUUAUUUCCCAGCUUGUUAGUACACCAUGUGAUGUUGCACUGCUUGCUCGCAAAGGAAUAAUCGUGCACCACUUGCGCACCGAUGAAGAAGUGUCAACUCUUUUCAGUAGGCUGGGAAAGAAUGUGGACUUUGAUCAGAAUGGUGCACACUAUCUUAAAUCGGUUUGCUGUAUGAUGGAAGAUUAUUAUCAGAAUCGCGUAAAUAGAUGGAUGGCCUGGUUGUGGCAUAACCAUCUCAGGAAUCCGUGGUUGGUCUUGGCAGUUGUAGCAGCAGCUCUUGUUCUUCUCUGCACGGUUAUCCAAUCAUUGUUAGCCUUGCUUGCGUAUUUGGAUCAAACAACAUAUAACAGUUAG